Molecule: long non-coding RNA, 1228 nt
Filed under: Betta splendens (Siamese fighting fish)
Lineage: Eukaryota; Metazoa; Chordata; Actinopteri; Anabantiformes; Osphronemidae
Description: lncRNA (ENSBSLG00000018323.1)
Source: RNAcentral
CAGACUAACUGCACCACAGAGACAGAGCAGAUGAAGAGGAUAAAUAAGCAAUACUGUUUUUUGUACAAAGAAAAGCUCAAAGGUCAUUUGUUUAAUAAUCAGCAAUCAUCUCAUUUGCUCGAUAUUUCACAUUUUUUUCUAGCUUUAAAGUUGUCUUUUAUUAUUUAGCCUUGCUCUGUUAUGCUUUUUCAGCAGUUGGUGUCCAUGGCCAAUAGGGGGGGCUGGUAUGAGGGCAGAGUGUUUACGUGCCAUUACUCACAUUUUGUAUUUAAUUAAUUCAAAUAUUCUGCUGUAAACUGAGUAAGAAAAAAAAACGUAGCUGUUUUACUGGUGAACCCGCGUGUUCAACAUUCUUUUGAACGCAGCUUGUUUCUCUCAUGUUCGCUUUAAUAGAGUCGUGACGACACUUAUAAAACACAGGCCUCCUCUUUGAAGGUGAGCUUCUUCCGUUCAGGAGCCCACUGCGUAAAAGAAUAGAAGCAUCAGCAGACUCUCGUGCAUGUGAUCGGCUGACGCGCGCAGACAGCGAGCGCUAGGCUGAGAGCAGUGGAUUAACGUAAUUUUGGAGAGGAGGGGUCGCUGUCACUCUGGGAUUUGUGAAGGGAUAUCUAUGUUUCUGCCGCUAAUCUCUCACUGUCAUGUUACAAGGGAAGAUUUUCUUCCUUCUUGGGCCAUUUAGGGACAAAGAAGGACACAUUGACUCCUCUGUCAGCAGCAGAGGUCAAGCUGGAAUAUGUCGACGCGCCCACGCUGCGUUCAAGGACACGGCUGCUAUAGGAAUUUAUACCCCCGGCCGGCCGCUCGCUUCCCGCGGCUCCACGGCAAUCGCUCACACGUGGAUCGAUGGCACGCGACGAUCAAUUGAUCGCAGCCUCGAGGUGUUCACGGGGAGUUCAGAGGCCUAUGACAGAAUAAACAACGAGCGCUGGAACAAUAGCCGGCCUGUGCUGCACCCAACAGAAAAGCUUCAUUCAGUACUUUCAAAACGCUAAAGGCAGGCUUUUGGUCUGUCCUUUACUCCGACCAUAACCUCAUCAGGCUGAAUAAUUGUUGCACUGUGAAGAGAAGAUUACCUGGAGGUGAAAAAUGUCCUUCCUCGCCCUGUGCUCUCAUUUCACUUCCUCUCUGUAAAAGACUGUUGCAACUAAUGAGACAAGACUAAAACGUUAACUUUUCUUUUUGAUUAUCUCACAGCCGAGAGGUCUCCUUUUUUCUUAACUAUCUAAAG